CAGUCGCCGCGGGAAUACAGAGGGUGCAAGCGUUAAUCGGAAUUACUGGGCGUAAAGCGCGCGUAGGUGGUUUGUUAAGUUGGAUGUGAAAUCCCCGGGCUCAACCUGGGAACUGCAUCCAAAACUGGCAAGCUAGAGUAUGGUAGAGGGUGGUGGAAUUUCCUGUGUAGCGGUGAAAUGCGUAGAUAUAGGAAGGAACACCAGUGGCGAAGGCGACCACCUGGACUGAUACUGACACUGAGGUGCGAAAGCGUGGGGAGCAAACAGGAUUGGAUACCCCGGUAGUCCCUGUCUCUUAUAC
Molecule: ribosomal RNA, 301 nt
Filed under: uncultured bacterium
Lineage: Bacteria
Description: partial 16S ribosomal RNA
Rfam family: Bacterial small subunit ribosomal RNA
Source: RNAcentral